ACGGAAGGCAGCAGUGAGGAAUAUUGGUCAGUGGUCGAAAGACUGAACCAGCCAAGUCGCGUGCAGGAAGACGGUCCUAUGGAUUGUAAACUGCUUUUGUACGGGAAUAAAGUGCGGGACGUGUCCCGUUCGGAAUGUACCGUAAGAAUAAGGGUCGGCUAACUCCGUGCCAGCAGCCGCGGUAAUACGGAGGACCCGAGCGUUAUCCGGAUUUAUUGGGUUUAAAGGGUGCGCAGGCGGAGGAUUAAGUCAGCGGUGAAAUUUUCAUGCUCAACAUGAAAACUGCCAUUGAUACUGGUCCCCUUGAGAGAUGUCGAGGAUGGCGGAAUGUGAUGUGUAGCGGUGAAAUGCUUAGAUAUGUCACAGAACACCGAUUGCGAAGGCAGCUGUCCAGAGAUCUUCUGACGCUCAGGCACGAAAGCAUGGGUAUCAAACAGGAUUAGAUACCCUGGUA
RNAcentral lists this ribosomal RNA (454 nucleotides) under uncultured Porphyromonadaceae bacterium. Its description in RNAcentral is "partial 16S ribosomal RNA". It matches the Rfam family "Bacterial small subunit ribosomal RNA", at positions 341 to 792 of the family's 1533-position model. The record is from RNAcentral. Lineage: Bacteria; Pseudomonadati; Bacteroidota; Bacteroidia; Bacteroidales; Porphyromonadaceae.